This 252-nucleotide ribosomal RNA is filed under the name uncultured bacterium. Its description in RNAcentral is "partial 16S ribosomal RNA". It matches the Rfam family "Bacterial small subunit ribosomal RNA", at positions 524 to 776 of the family's 1533-position model. The record is from RNAcentral.
UACGUAGGGUGCAAGCGUUAAUCGGAAUUACUGGGCGUAAAGCGUGCGUAGGCGGUGAUGUAAGACAGUUGUGAAAUCCCCGGGCUCAACCUGGGAACUGCAUCUGUGACUGCAUCGCUGGAGUGCGGCAGAGGGGAUGGAAUUCCGCGUGUAGCAGUGAAAUGCGUAGAUAUGCGGAGGAACACCAGUGGCGAAGGCGGCGACCUGGGCCAAUAUUGACGCUGAGGUGCGAAAGCGUGGGGAGCAAACAGG